RNAcentral lists this ribosomal RNA (411 nucleotides) under uncultured bacterium. RNAcentral's name for it is "bacterial SSU rRNA". It matches the Rfam family "Bacterial small subunit ribosomal RNA", at positions 355 to 776 of the family's 1533-position model. The record is from RNAcentral.
UGGGGAAUAUUGCACAAUGGGCGCAAGCCUGAUGCAGCAACGCCGCGUGAGGGAUGACGGCCUUCGGGUUGUAAACCUCUUUUAGUAGGGAAGAAGCCGCAAGGUGACGGUACCUGCAGAAAAAGCACCGGCUAACUACGUGCCAGCAGCCGCGGUAAUACGUAGGGUGCAAGCGUUGUCCGGAAUUAUUGGGCGUAAAGAGCUCGUAGGCGGCUUGUCGCGUCUGCUGUGAAAUCCUGAGGCUUAACCUUGGGCGUGCAGUGGGUACGGGCAAGCUAGAGUGCGGUAGGGGAGAUUGGAAUUCCUGGUGUAGCGGUGGAAUGCGCAGAUAUCAGGAGGAACACCGAUGGCGAAGGCAGAUCUCUGGGCCGUAACUGACGCUGAGGAGCGAAAGCAUGGGGAGCGAACAGG